UAAAGGCCGGACUGAGUAAGUAAUAUUGUAAUUUAAUUUCAGUGUUCCUAAACUAUACUUCAGUCUGGACAUGUCACUUGAGCACAGGCAACUGUUUUGAAAGAGUCUUUAUGUUUAAAUCCUUCUACUCACUUACUGAAAGGGUACUUUGAGAUGAGAAAAGUCUUUCCGAAAUCUAAGCCUGGUCUUUGGACUUAUUCUUGAGAUAGCAGCCAAAUUUCAUUUUAAUCUCAGCAGAAAAGGAAUUAAGACUGCCUGCCUCUACCAUAUAACAUUUUCUGGUGGAUGGGAAGGAUCUUUGAAUAGGGAAUCAGAGAAUUUGCAAGGAUUGAUGAAAGAUUUUCAAAGAAAAUUUUGAAUGUUAGCUACUGCAAAAGCAGAGAAGACUGUCUUGAAAUUCAGAAAUGGAAGGGACACAGCAGAUUUCUGCAUCUACACAUCUUAUGUAAAAGCUGUAAAGAACAGGCAGCUGUCAGCAAGAGUAAGGAAGACUUCUAAAAUGCGUUUUUGUUAACAGCUGGAGACCUCAAGCAAAGUAUGUAGAGCACCACCAACUUUUUCAUGGAUGUAAUUCAGCCUUAUAUCUGAAUACAAGAAUAUACCUUUCACAGAUUAACUGUAAUGAAGAUCCUGCUAGCCUUACAUGAUCCUAUGAUGAGAGAAUAAAAUCUGAAGGUAAUUGUUGUGUGUCAGAUGUUUUUUUGUUCCUCCUCAAAUACAGUCCUGACUUUUAGGGUCAUUUGUCAGAGAAGUGAUGUCAUGGUAACAAAAUAUAGAUUGCCUUCAGAUUUCCAGUAGAUUAUCAGAGUAACUAUGGAUCCAUCACAGCUGAAGGCUGAGGCACUGACCUCAAUAAAUUACCUGUCCUAACAGCUGUAACUUUUGUUGCUUACCAUUCUGCUCACUGUUUUGCCAUCUUCACUGGCUUCAUCAGUUUUGUGAGGUUUCCAUCCAGCCUGUUCA
This is a long non-coding RNA of Haemorhous mexicanus (house finch), 963 nucleotides long. RefSeq lists it as uncharacterized. NCBI's taxonomy places the organism in Eukaryota, Metazoa, Chordata, Aves, Passeriformes, Fringillidae. The transcript has 4 exons. The record is from RefSeq and is a predicted model, not a curated record.